UAGGGAAUAUUGGACAAUGGGGGCAACCCUGAUCCAGCCAUGCCGCGUGAGUGAAGAAGGCCCUCGGGUUGUAAAGCUCUUUUGUCCGGAAAGAAAAGCUUCGGGUUAAUACCCCGGGGUUCUGACGGUACCGGAAGAAUAAGCACCGGCUAACUUCGUGCCAGCAGCCGCGGUAAUACGAAGGGUGCAAGCGUUACUCGGAAUUACUGGGCGUAAAGCGUGCGUAGGUGGUUGUUUAAGUCUGAUGUGAAAGCCCUGGGCUCAACCUGGGAAUAGCAUUGGAAACUGGGCAGCUAGAGUGCGGUAGAGGGUAGUGGAAUUCCCGGUGUAGCAGUGAAAUGCGUAGAGAUCGGGAGGAACAUCUGUGGCGAAGGCGACUGCCUGGACCAGCACUGACACUGAGGCACGAAAGCGUGGGGAGCAAACA
This 427-nucleotide ribosomal RNA is filed under the name uncultured bacterium. RNAcentral describes it as "bacterial SSU rRNA". It matches the Rfam family "Bacterial small subunit ribosomal RNA", at positions 355 to 774 of the family's 1533-position model. The record is from RNAcentral.